UUACUACUACUAACUUCAUUCCCAUAAUUAUAACAUUCUCCAUGUUGAAACCAGAUAUAGUAAUGUGGCAUGAAACCUUUAUUUAUUAAAUGCUUCCAUACAUUUCUACGAGUUGCCAAUUUUGAAUUGUUGCAUUUCCGACAAGGACAAAACAUCUUACCGCUUUCCUGGGUGAGCGGUGUAGAAUCUGCUUGAUGCAUGAAUGUCUCCAGCCCUUCGAGAUAUUCUUUCGUCUCUCUCCCGUUAGCAUCUCUGUAAGUACUCCGAAACUCCAUAAUAUUUCCAUCACCCGACAUU
RNAcentral lists this long non-coding RNA (297 nucleotides) under Brassica napus (rape). RNAcentral describes it as "long non-coding RNA (BNAP_LNC000490)". Lineage: Eukaryota; Viridiplantae; Streptophyta; Magnoliopsida; Brassicales; Brassicaceae. The record is from RNAcentral.